GUGGUCAAGCUAAUAAGGGCUCAUGGUGGAUACCUAGGCACACAGAGGCGAAGAAGGACGUGGUUACCUGCGAAAAGUUCCGGGGAGUUGGAAGCAAACAGAGAGCCGGAAAUAUCCGAAUGGGGCAACCCUGAAAACUGCCUGUUGAAUAUAUAGACAGGAAAGAGCGAACCUGGCGAAUUGAAACAUCUUAGUAGCCAGAGGAAAAGAAAUCAAAAGAGAUUCCCCGAGUAGCGGUGAGCGAAAGGGGAAGAGCCUAAACCAAGGGGUAUACCUCUUGGGGUAGUGGGACAGCAACAUCGAAUCCAGAGACUAGACGAAGCAGCUAAAUACUGCACCAGAGGGGGUGAAAGUCCUGUAGUCGAAAGUCAAAGGAUAGAAGCUGAAUCCCGAGUAGUACGGGGCACGAGAAAUCCCGUAUGAAUCAGCGAGGACCAUCUCGUAAGGCUAAAUACUACUGUGUGACCGAUAGAGAACAAGUACCGCGAGGGAAAGGUGAAAAGAACCCCGGGAGGGGAGUGAAAAAGAACAUGAAACCGUGAGCUUACAAGCAGUGGGAGUCCGAUUAAACGGAUGACCGCGUGCCUGUUGAAGAAUGAGCCGGCGACUUAUAGGUACUGGUAGGUUAAAGCGGGAAUGCUGGAGCCAAAGGGAAACCGAGUCUGAAAAGGGCGCUAAUCAGUAUUUAUAGACCCGAACCCUGGUGAUCUAACCAUGGCCAGGAUGAAGCUUGGGUAAAACCAAGUGGAGGUCCGAACCGACCGAUGUUGAAAAAUCGGCGGAUGAGCGGUGGUUAGGGGUGAAAUGCCAAUCGAACCAGGAGCUAGCUGGUUCUCCCCGAAAUG
RNAcentral lists this ribosomal RNA (845 nucleotides) under Cylindrospermopsis raciborskii S06. RNAcentral's name for it is "bacterial LSU rRNA". It matches the Rfam family "Bacterial large subunit ribosomal RNA", at positions 1 to 866 of the family's 2925-position model. The record is from RNAcentral. Lineage: Bacteria; Bacillati; Cyanobacteriota; Cyanophyceae; Nostocales; Aphanizomenonaceae.